Molecule: unclassified non-coding RNA, 440 nt
Filed under: Hevea brasiliensis (rubber tree)
Lineage: Eukaryota; Viridiplantae; Streptophyta; Magnoliopsida; Malpighiales; Euphorbiaceae
Source: RNAcentral
AACUUUAAUAGGCUGCCCAAACAGGUGCCUUCCAUUUUGAGUAACUAUAGCAAGUUCAGCAGACCUACGGUCAUAAUAAUGAACAAAGCCAUAAGAUGACUUGUCCUUCCUUACAAGUUUGCACCCUUCAACCAGACCAGUACAUGAAAAAAGUUCAUGAAGAAGAGUUUCAGACACCUGGGGGUGAAUAUUCCCAAUAUACACGCUGCGGCAUGUACUUGGAUCAAACCCAGGAGGUAGAUUUCCACUUGGUAUCUGAGGAGCAGCUAUAAGGCCAGGGUGAUAGAGUGACUGUUGUUGAAGAAGAGCUUGCUGCAUCAAGGCUUGUUGUUGUUCUUGUUUUAGCCUAUGAUUCAGCAUUUUCUCAACUACUACUCCGAGAUCGGAGAAAUAAUUACCGGCGUGAUUGGAUUUCCUGUGUCCUCGCGGUGAUAUAGAAG